Molecule: long non-coding RNA, 6143 nt
Organism: Piliocolobus tephrosceles (Ugandan red Colobus)
Lineage: Eukaryota; Metazoa; Chordata; Mammalia; Primates; Cercopithecidae
Exons: 3
Source: RefSeq, a predicted model, not a curated record
UUAAAGGUCUGUGACAAUGAAAACAUUUCCCCAAUUGCAUUUAUACUCAGGGUACCAGACCAGAAGAUCAGAUCAUAGAAGUUGCUAGAGAAAAAGAUCAGCGGACAGCACUCUUGAACUACAUGCCAAGCCUCUCCUUCCUGGAACUCUAAUGGAUUUAAAUGGCUUAAGAGAUGGGAUGAAUUGUUGAAAAUGGUUCUUUCAAAAGACCUCAUGGAAGGCCAAAGACAAGACUCACUGAAGCCAAGCUGAUCAACAAUAUCUAUAAGUUGACGCAUUCUAAUCAUGUGGCGAUCUUGACCUUGGGAGCUUGAUUUGUGGACCAGUGUCCCCAAGAAGAUGACCAUCAGACAGAUGACUAUCCUUUCCAUGGUGCCAGGACUGGAUCUCAUAAGUACCAACAGUAGAGCUAGACGUUGGUCUCGUUUUCACUUCAGCUUGACUGAGAACAGGUAUACGUGUGCAUGUGCUAAUGUGUGGGGGCAGGGAUUGAUGGAGUCAACGAAAUGUGCCCCAUCUGCAUCUUUGACAGGAAAAAGAGAGAAUGGGUGAAUUCCAAUUUCAGCAUGAAUCAAGAAGUAUGUAUAAUAAACAGUAGGUACUACAAGACUUCAAAAAAGUAAACAAAAACACUUUGAUCUCUUUUUCUCGGCCUCCCCUGGCAUCUUACCUGUUCUCUGUGACAGUCAUAAGAGCACUUCGAUAAUGAGUAAAAUGGCAACAUGUGCUUUCAUGCAGGACUUUUUCUUAUGGUAAUAACUAAGUCUUUUGACUAAAAUCAUCCAGUAUUCCAUCAUAAAAGUAGGAGGAGAGGCUACCUUUUAGGAAAUUUUAAAUAAAGAGGUAUUUUCCAAAUUAGCAAGAAUAUUUUAGGUUCUUACCAAGUUUCAAGGGUUUAAAAUAGAAUUUGCUUCCAACUGUUCACCAAAGCAUCUUUAACCAUUUAUUUUGGCUUCUGACAAGUUAUUUAACAAUCUGAUUUAUUAAUAUCACAAAUGAUUCUAAGGGACUCGAUGGAAAAUCUAUCCUUCCCAAUCAAGAUCUCACUCUACCAUCAUUUAAAAAAUUAUCUGAUGUCCAUCUCUUCUGUAUAAUGCAUCAAUUAAAUGAGUGAAACUUGCUAAUGCUCAUUCUUGUGCGAACCAAAAAAUAUUUCCAAACAGCAAAAUAAAAUAUACCCAUAAAUGAUUCGUUUUCUCUUAGGGUUGUAUUACUUAUUUCUAUUAGAUACUAUUUCCUCUGGGUAUAAGCAACACAUUUCUAACUGCAUCUGUGACCGGGUAGAGAUUAAUUAAAGACCCAAAGUCCAGAAAUGGUUUUGUCAUCCUCCUUUCUUCUGCUUCUCUUGUCCCUGAGAAUCUUAACCCAUUUGAGAAAGUUGAAUAUAAUAUUCUAGCUAGAAAGUCAUGUACCAUAUAAGACCAUAGGACUUAUAAAUAAAACUCUUGACUAUAGAUUUUAUUCAUUCAUUCAUUUCAUUACAUACUUUAGAAUACAAUACUUUAUUCUAGACUGUUAUGUAGCCAACAUAAAUUGGAGUUUUGACUUGAUUUGCUCUGAAGUUGACUGCAAUCUUUUUAUUAUGGAAUAUCUAUUCAAGAGUAUACAGGUUUGGUCUUACACAGUAGACAAGAGUUCAUACAACAUGAUCAAGAAUUCCUCCCUGUAAUAAUUAAAUUCGAUAUGACAGGAUUCUGUGCAAACUUAUGAAUGCAUGUAGACUAAGGGUUGCCCCUUGGUGCCUCCACAUUGCCUGUAUGGUCUUUGUACAUGCACUCCUUAUCCACGUAAACAGAUGUGCAUCUCCUUGAAGACACUAACCACAGUGAUUAGGAGGUCAGUUUCUAAAGCUUGAGUUCAAAUCCAGGUCCUAACAAUUAAUAGCACAUAUGAUCCUGUGUGUGUAAUUGCAAAAGGAAGCUAAGUACAGAAUCUAAUCAUAGGGUUGUGAUAAGGCUUAAAUGAGACAUUUCAAGUAAAAGGGCUAAGUACAGCACAUGAUAACAGGUUUGCAUGCUGAUCGUGGACGAGGGUGAAGGGGAGAACUUAAAGAAGCCUAGGGAGGCUAAACUGAUGAGAGAAGGAAGAGAAUGGACAGGUCAGUGUUCAGCCAAAAUACACGUGUGUGGCCGUACUGGUGGUUUAAAAAAAAAAAAGUCAAAUAUCUUUCGUACUGCCUAGAGAGAACCAUUGCUCCUGGCCCUGGAGUGCCUCACCACUAUGUUAGACACCCCAGUCCCUCCUUGAGACAUCCUAGCCCUCUCCAUAAUUCAUCUACCAGUACAUAAGGGGUCUCAGAAUCUUGCUCCAGCACUAUGACCAGAGGCCUUUCUGAAAGUCAGAAUUUCUGCCUUAAGUGGCACAUCAGUUGUUAAGCAUUUUUGGAUAUCAUCUCUGGUGUGAUAGACUUACCAAUGCCCGAAAGACAUCCAUGCCAUAAUCCCUGGAACCUGUGAAAAUAUUACCUCACAUGACAAAGGGGACUUUGCAGAUGUGAAUAAAUUAAAGAUUUUUUACAUGGUAAGAUUAUCCUGGGUUAUCCUGUGGGCCCAAUGCAAUCACAGGAGCCUUUAUCAGAGGAAGGCAGGAGAGUCAGAGUAAAAGAAGGAACUGUUGUUUCAGAAGUGGAGGCUGGACUGAUGCGGGGCUAGAAGCCAAGGAAUACAGAUGGCUUCUAGAGUCUGGGAAAAGUAAAAAACAAACUCUUCUCUGGAGCCUUCAGAAAGAAUGCAGCCCAGCCAAAAAUACCUUGAAUUUAGUCCCAUAAAGCUCAUUUUGAGUUAUUACUUCUGACCUUCAGAAAUGUAAGAUAAUAAAUUUAUGCUGUUUUGUUCUUACCUGAAUAGAUGUGCAUCUCCUUGAAGUGUUUGUGGUAAUUUGCCACAGCAGCAGUGGGAGUGUAACAUACAUAGAUAUGGAAUUUUUAAUUUCAGGGAAAAAGGCAGGAAAAGAGAGAAAGAGAUGAAAGGGUGCUAAGAAAAGAUCCAGCAAAGGUUGAAAUUUUGUUGGGCUUUUGGGAGGUGCAGGUAGAGGGUAUCAGAAGUGUGGACAAGAGAGGGAAGUAAGAUUAGUAUAGCUGCCACAUGGUAUGGGACAUCAGGGAUAAAAAUGUAUAAUGAGGAUGUUCCAGGAAGUCUGGUGUGUACUGUAGCAACUCCUUCCUAGCCCUGAGAAAACGUCACACAGAAUUCACCGCAUGGUUUAAAGUUAUGGAUCCAAAUUUGCAUUUCAUUUGAAUUUAUCACUAUGUGGAGAUGAACCUUAGGGUGGGAACAAGGAGGCCCAAAAGUAUUUGGGUCACUAGGCAAAGUAAAUUAUUCAUUGCUCAGAAAUAUUAACGUUAUUGCUACCCUUACAGUAUCAUUUCAUUGGGGUUUUGAUGGCUGCUUACUCUUUAAAUUAUAAUUAUUUUUAUAAUCUAGAUAUAACCGGUGCUGCUAUAAGGCUUAUGUUGAAAAUAAUGAUUUAUUCCAAUGCGGUUAAUAUAUCAAGGAACAAUUUGAGUAUAACAAGAACUUUGUGUUUCCCUAUGUUUAAUUUCAUCAGCAAGAAAUGCUAGGUGAAGGCAGAAAACUGCAUCCAGCUGAACUGAGCCAUGUAGGAAUACGUAAGAUGUCCUCACACCUCUGACAGCCACCAGCAUCCUCAGUUCACCACAUGUAUAAUGAGCCACACCCAUCUACAUCUAGUGUCACAAUUUUCCAUCCCAGAGAACUCUCCUUCACCAUGUCUCAAUAACUCACAAACUGUAACCCUUCCAACACCUACCUCCAUGAACAAGCUUCAAGUCUUUUUCUAGGUAAAACAAUGUGUUUAUUCUAUUAUUUAUGUGUUCGUUAACCAUAUAACAUGCCUAAAACAGCUAUCUUUUAAAAUUAGGUUGCUAUCUUCAUUUUUAGUGUCACUGAUGACGUUUUUGAAUGCUGUGCUCCUAAUCUCAUUUUCCUGUAAGCAUGUGGUUUUUGAUUCUAUGAUUUUGUAUAGUGCAGUGAUUUUUAGAAACACAUGGGUCACAUUAUAGCAGAACUCACUGUAUUUUGUCUCAAUGUGUCACACUUAAGCCCCAACAGCGACUACUUAUAUCCAGGCAGAAAACAAGACUAAAAUAUAGAAUUUAUUCUUAAGGCAGGGAAUAAAAAGGGAAGGGAAGAGAAAGGGAAAAGGGAAGGAGAGACAAUGAAAAACAAUUUGCCAUUUCUACACACGGCCCAUCUGAGGUAUUUAAAAUCCCUGGGGUCCAUUUCUUCCUUGGUCCUUUCCUGUUAGCACCUGGGGGCUUAGCUUGGCAUCUGUGGAUUUCCCAGGUUCCAUACAUGUGUUUCAGAUAUCCCCUAACCUCCUGAAAUUACUUGCAAAAUUUUGUAUGUAUAUUUUGAGCAAAAGAAAACCUUAAAUUUCAUCAACUUCUCAAUGGAAAUGUCAUGCAACUGCUGUUUGUUUUCCAGCCUCCAGAGACUUUGAUUAAGGGUGAUGCAAACCAUGUUUCUUCAGCAUGUGAGCACCAUCAGUCAUGAGUGUGGCAGCUCCAGAAUGUCUAUAUCGGAGUGGCUGAGAGUCAGCAGCUUGGCUGGAAGCCACACUUGAAUAGCAAACAAACCACUUUUACUUAGCUGCCACGUCUAUUUGGUACCUUGGAGUAGAGUGAUGAGUUUUACUAGAUAUGGACUUUCCAGGAAUAUAACCAAGGUCGUCACCGUGAAAGUAUGAAACUUUAGUCAUUUACGCAAGGGGAUUCAUGGACAUAUUUUAAGACUUUUCUUUAAUGGACUGUGUUUAUAGAACACCUGGUCAAGGCAGUAAUGAGCUCAGGGAACUAAAGGGGUGGAAGUCUGAAAAGGAAUGGUUUUGCAUGGGAAAGCUGUGCCAGGUCUAAAACUGGGCUAAACACUGUUUGUCUCCAACUCCCUGGCCUGGUCCUCAUAGUUCCUUCUGUGAUCCCUGCAUGGUGAAUACUCCUUUUCUGCUUUCACUGGCUUUGGCCCCUCAUGGGUAGGAUUAGAUGUUCUGCAUGGCAAACUGGGAAGAGAGGCCUCCAAUGUUUAAAGUGAUAUUAUCAUGUGUACCACUACUAUUAUACAUACUAAAGGUAUUCAGACAGGUGGCUUGUCUCUGGGCUUUAUAUCAGUCUCUGUCAAACUAGAAGAAAAAUGUCACUAAAAUAAUUCAAGACAAUUUUUGCACUUUCCAACAAUGUUCAGGUAACAGCUGAAAAUAUUCUCACUUAUUUGACUUGAGUAAGAAAAUUCGAACGAGGAAAAUCCUUAAGGAUUUGCUAAAGUCCCCUCUGUGAAAUCUUCCUCAAGGAAGUUUAAACACUCCUAUUCUUCUCUCAUUCUUUUGAACUCACUGCAUGUAUUGAUAUCACUGACUUGAUUUCUUUUCUAGAAUAUAUGUGAAAGUCAGUGUGUAUAUAUAACCCAUUAUGUACCUAACAAGAACAGUUCCUUCUAAUAUUCAAAUUUCAUGACUCCAGAUCACUACUGUGCAUUCUAAGAAGAUCAGGGACUCUGGAGACCAAAGGGUCAAUCCUGGUCAUUGUUGUCUUACGAGACAAAAACAAGAGCCUUCUCAGGCCCCAUGUUCUCUAGCUCUUGAUGUGGCCUCUUUGGUAUCACUGGCAGCCCCACGAUCUGGUGGUCAGUGUGUCGCAGCAGAGGAAUGGGGACCUCUAUUCUGCUAGUAGACUCAGGUAUGUCACUCUGUGAUACUCUAAGACUGGGUUCAUUGAGGACAGGUCUCUUUGCUAAGAUUCGCUCAAAGUCAGUGUUUGGAAGCACAGUCCUGCUUCUGAAAUGCUGGAUCUGGAGGAGUUCCAGCAGCAGCCACAUGGGCCUUCUCCUCAGAUCUUAGCUUCAACAUGGGAUACUCAGUAGUGAGGCUAGAGAUCAGAUAUCCUUCAUUUCAUGACCACUAGGCCUAGAGGAUGGAGAGAAAGAACUGCAACAUCUGCACUCUUCAACCAGAGUCCACUCCAACUCCAUACCACAAGGUGAGACAAGUUCCACCAGCCUCUCCAGCCUCCUGUCUAAAAUGAUCAGAGAAAUCCUCUUCUCUCUGGACUCAAGGCCCAUCCUUGUUUCCUUCCCUAGGGUGACAGGUGGCUAUAGCACCCUCUGUCUUGGCCCUGCAGCCACCAACACACA